Molecule: non-coding RNA, 32 nt
Filed under: Homo sapiens (human)
Lineage: Eukaryota; Metazoa; Chordata; Mammalia; Primates; Hominidae
Source: RNAcentral
UCCCCUGACCAAGAGGAAGGGCCUCGCCCCGC